UACGGAGGGUGCAAGCGUUAUCCGGAUUCACUGGGUUUAAAGGGUGCGUAGGUGGAGUGGUAAGUCAGUGGUGAAAUCUCCAAGCUUAACUUGGAACUGCCGUUGAUACUAUCAUUCUUGAAUAUCGUGGAGGUAAGCGGAAUAGUGUCAUGUAGCGGUGAAAUGCUUAGAUAUGACAUAGAACACCGAUUGCGAAGGCAGCUUGCUACACGAUCAUUGACACUGAGGCACGAAAGCGUGGGGAUCAA
Molecule: ribosomal RNA, 248 nt
Filed under: uncultured bacterium
Lineage: Bacteria
Description: partial 16S ribosomal RNA
Rfam family: Bacterial small subunit ribosomal RNA
Source: RNAcentral